RNAcentral lists this ribosomal RNA (459 nucleotides) under uncultured bacterium. Its description in RNAcentral is "partial 16S ribosomal RNA". It matches the Rfam family "Bacterial small subunit ribosomal RNA", at positions 338 to 795 of the family's 1533-position model. The record is from RNAcentral.
CCUACGGGAGGCAGCAGUGAGGAAUAUUGGUCAAUGGCCGAGAGCCUGAACCAGCCAAGUCGCGUGAGGGAAGACGGCCCUACGGGUUGUAAACCUCUUUUGUCGGGGAGCAAAGCGAGGCACGUGUGACUCAUUGAGAGUACCCGAAGAAAAAGCAUCGGCUAACUCCGUGCCAGCAGCCGCGGUCAUACGGAGGAUGCCAGCGUUAUCCGGAUUUAUUGGGUUUAAAGGGUGCGCAGGCGGAGGUGCAAGUCAGCGGUAAAAUUUCGGGGCUCAACCCCGUACUGCCGUUGAAACUGGAUGCCUUGAGUGCGCGAGAAGUAUGCGGAAUGCGUGGUGUAGCGGUGAAAUGCAUAGAUAUCACGCAGAACUCCGAUUGCGAAGGCAGCAUACCGGCGCGCAACUGACGCUGAUGCACGAAAGCGUGGGUAUCGAACAGGAUUAGAUACCCUUGUAGUC